Molecule: long non-coding RNA, 2292 nt
Filed under: Triticum aestivum (bread wheat)
Lineage: Eukaryota; Viridiplantae; Streptophyta; Magnoliopsida; Poales; Poaceae
Description: long non-coding RNA (TAES_LNC022784)
Rfam family: MIR1120/MIR1122 microRNA precursor family (bases 1572-1658)
Source: RNAcentral
UCUGAGCCGAUGCAGCAGCGGUGAAGGCUUUGCUUGUGCUUGUGUGCAUGCAGGUCCAGAAGGGCAUGUUCCUUGACAGUGCUGCCAUGGACGUCUUGUUGGAUCGGCAGGGAAGAGGUUGGAAUCUGUUGCUUGUGUGUGUGUGUAUGCAGUCACCUGGAAUAUGUUUCUUGUGUGCACGAGGUUAUAAAAAUGAAGAAAUUGUGCAUAAUCCCUUCAAGCUAUCAUGUUUCCUAAAAACUUGACUCAAUUGUUUCUGAGUUUUAGUGGCAUUUAACCUGACAUUUUCUCUGUAUGAAGUCAUCAUGUGGUCAUUAACAAUCAUGCAGAUGCAACAAGUCUUGUUUAGUACAGCGUGGCAUAUUGUUGCAUUCAAGUGUAAUGUCAAUCACUGUGCUCUAUUGUCAUUUUUGUUGUGUUCUUCCUAUGCACAUGGAUGCAUCAGCACAUCAUAUCAUAUUGUGGUAAGUCACUUUUUUGUAUUGAAAGCUAGUAAUUGUGCACUGGUGAACAUGAUAUUGCCUCCAAUUCCGUUUUUAUCAUCUAAAUGUCUAAAUGAUAUGCCUUACUGGUGGCAGGUCAAGCCAGAGGUGAUGCACAUCCAUAGAGUCAUGGUCCAAACCGUACACGGCACUCACAUGCCAUGACCAUCGUCAUCUUGUCGGUCAAGCGGAAGUAGUGGCUAUUGCUCCACCACAGAAGCAAAUGUGUGAGGUCUUAUUACCCUUGCUGUAUUCUGAAACCUCCCACGUGUAAUUAUUAACAUUUUUUUGUUAGUCCAGUGUUUGAGUUAGUAAGGUACUUCGAUACGUUCAAUGCUGUGCAAACAUACUCUAGUGAUGCUAUUGGAACAUAUUGGGCAUCUUCUCAUGCAUGACUGAACUGCUGUAGCUAAUCAUGAAAUUUAGUCGGGUUUGUUUUUUGGGUACACUUUUAGGUGGAUCUGAGUUUUCACCAUAACAACCUGUAUUUGAUUCUUAAGGUUUCACUGUCAGAAUUCAAAGUAGUAUAAGAAACCUACAGUUAUUGCCAUCUUAUGGAAACAACCUAACUGAUUCAUGUAUGUGACCUAGAUAUCAUUUUAUUCUAACCAGAUGGAAAUUGAAAAUCUUAGCCGAUUGAGCAUUUCGACCAACUACGAUACUUGGAGGUACUAUAACCUGAAGAAGUGCCUUGAACUAUAAUCUGAAAAUGACCAAUAUUCCGCUGAUGGUGUUGAACGAUUAAAUGCUUGUAAACCAUCUAAAAUUGUAAUCUCAUUUGCAUUGAUAUCAAUUUCAUGAUUGCUUAAACCCUCUGUAAGUACUAUGUCUGAAAAGUAUAGGUUAUGUUUUACAAGCAAUAACAUCGGUAACUACAGGUUGAACCCUCUAAUUUAUGUCAGCUACAGGAUGAUCAACCAAAAGGAAACAGAGCCCCCUGAUCUGUGUCGUGAAGAUGAACCUGAUUGACCAAAGAUUCGCCUGGGCGCACCAAUGAGGCGAGCUGAAAACACCUUCUACUUACUUGCAGGAAAGAAGUGUUCCUGCGCAGGGAUGAAUGAUGAACCUGAUUGGCCAAAUUGAUGAGUAGUACUCCCUCUGUAAACUAAUAUAAGAGCGUUUAGAUCACUAAAAUAGUAAUCUAAACACUCUUAUAUUAGUUUACGGAGGGUGUAUAAGAAACCUUCAGGUAAACCUUGACAGCCACUAACAAACUAUUUGAUGAACACGGCAAUGAUUCAAAAGAAAACAGCUGACCUGUGCCUCCCGAUCUGCAGCAAACGAAGCGUUUGUGGCAGGGAUCGCUGGGGAGUUUUAACCAUCGCCGAGAAUCAAGGCUUGCAACACCGCCCAGGGGACACGGAGAAUCAAGGCUCGCCGCCCCACUGAGAAGAUUUUUAACGGACACGGAGAAUCAAGGCUCGCCGCCCCACUGAGGAGAAGAUUUCUAACGAUAUGGAAAGUUUGAUGCGCUGGCAGGAAAAGAAUCAGGCCUCCAUUAGAAAGAGUAUAUCCUAGAUCGCCCGUGCAAGCUAUUACAAGGGACUAGCAAACAUGCCCGUGCGUUGCAACGGGAAAGAAAAGCGCUUGUCCCUGACCUGAUAAGCACAACGUUCGUGCUUCACUAUGGAGAAAACACCAGUUGUCAUGAAUCAAGGUUGCCUUGGUUAGGCAAUUGUGUUGCGGGACACUCGAUGUCAAAAACGGUGGUCAAUUGACGUGUUGCGCUGACGCGUGAUCAGAUCGACGGGAUCAAGACCACGAUGGUAGCGUGAUGCGUGCCACACAUGUCAUUGAUUGUGGCGUCUCG